RNAcentral lists this ribosomal RNA (898 nucleotides) under uncultured bacterium. RNAcentral describes it as "bacterial SSU rRNA". It matches the Rfam family "Bacterial small subunit ribosomal RNA", at positions 22 to 897 of the family's 1533-position model. The record is from RNAcentral.
GCUCAGAACGAACGCGGGCGGCGUGCCUAACACAUGCAAGUCGAGCGAGAAAGCCCGCAAGGGUGAGUAAAGCGGCGCACGGGUGAGUAACACGUGGGUAAUCUGCCCUAGAGUCCGGAAUAACUCGCCGAAAGGCGUGCUAAUGCCGGGUGAGACCACGGGAGCCUCGGCUCUCGCGGGAAAAGGUGGCCUCUGUACACAAGCUAUCGCUCUAGGAUGAGCCCGCGGCCCAUCAGCUCGUUGGCGGGGUAAUGGCCCACCAAGGCUACGACGGGUAGCUGGUCUGAGAGGACGAUCAGCCACACUGGAACUGAGACACGGUCCAGACUCCUACGGGAGGCAGCAGUGGGGAAUCUUGCGCAAUGGGCGAAAGCCUGACGCAGCAACGCCGCGUGUGUGAUGAAGGUCUUCGGAUCGUAAAGCACUGUCGCGAGGGACGAAUAAGGGGCGGGUUAACAUCCCGUUCCGAUGACGGUACCUCGAGAGGAAGCACCGGCUAACUCUGUGCCAGCAGCCGCGGUAAUACAGAGGGUGCGAGCGUUGUUCGGAAUUAUUGGGCGUAAAGCGCGUGUAGGCGGCCUUGCAAGUUGGGUGUGAAAGCCCUCGGCUUAACCGAGGAAGUGCGCCCAAAACUACGAGGCUUGAGUGCCGGAGAGGGUGGCGGAAUUCCCGGUGUAGAGGUGAAAUUCGUAGAUAUCGGGAGGAACACCAGUGGCGAAGGCGGCCACCUGGACGGUAACUGACGCUGAGACGCGAAAGCGUGGGGAGCAAACAGGAUUAGAUACCCUGGUAGUCCACGCUGUAAACGAUGAGCGCUAGGUGUUGUGGGUGUUGACCCCCGCAGUGCCGCAGCUAACGCAUUAAGCGCUCCGCCUGGGAAGUACGGCCGCAAGGCUAA